This 392-nucleotide ribosomal RNA is filed under the name uncultured bacterium. Its description in RNAcentral is "partial 16S ribosomal RNA". It matches the Rfam family "Bacterial small subunit ribosomal RNA", at positions 523 to 918 of the family's 1533-position model. The record is from RNAcentral.
AUACGUAGGGGGCAAGCGUUAUCCGGAUUUAUUGGGUUUAAAGGGUGCGCAGGCGGCCAUUUAAGUCAGCGGUUAAAUCGUGGGGCUCAACCCCAUUCUGCCGUUGAUACUGGGUGGCUUGAUUGCGGUCGAGGUUGGCGGAAUUCGUUGUGUAGCGGUGAAAUGCAUAGAUAUGACGAAGAACACCGAUUGCGUAGGCAGCUGACCAGACCGCAAAUGACGCUCAUGCACGAAAGUGCGGGGAUCGAACAGGAUUAGAUACCCUGGUAGUCCGCACAGUAAACGAUGAAUACUUGUUUUCGGCGAUAUAAUGUCGGAGGCAAAGCGAAAGCGAUAAGUAUUCCACCUGGGGAGUACGCCGGCAACGGUGAAACUCAAAUGAAUUGACGGGG